Molecule: ribosomal RNA, 440 nt
Filed under: uncultured Kluyvera sp.
Lineage: Bacteria; Pseudomonadati; Pseudomonadota; Gammaproteobacteria; Enterobacterales; Enterobacteriaceae
Description: bacterial SSU rRNA
Rfam family: Bacterial small subunit ribosomal RNA
Source: RNAcentral
GUGCCAGCAGCUGCGGUAAUACGGAGGGUGCAAGCGUUAAUCGGAAUUACUGGGCGUAAAGCGCACGCAGGCGGUCUGUCAAGUCGGAUGUGAAAUCCCCGGGCUCAACCUGGGAACUGCAUUCGAAACUGGCAGGCUAGAGUCUUGUAGAGGGGGGUAGAAUUCCAGGUGUAGCGGUGAAAUGCGUAGAGAUCUGGAGGAAUACCGGUGGCGAAGGCGGCCCCCUGGACAAAGACUGACGCUCAGGUGCGAAAGCGUGGGGAGCAAACAGGAUUAGAUACCCUGGUAGUCCACGCCGUAAACGAUGUCGACUUGGAGGUUGUGCCCUUGAGGCGUGGCUUCCGGAGCUAACGCGUUAAGUCGACCGCCUGGGGAGUACGGCCGCAAGGUUAAACUCAAAUGAAUUGGACGGGGCCCGACGACAAGCGGUGGAGCAGUGU